GGGAGUAACUACUGGAAACGGUAGCUAAUACCGCAUAACGUCUCCGGACCAAAGUGGGGGACCUUCGGGCCUCACACCAUCGGAUGUGCCCAGAUGGGAUUAGCUUGUAGGUGGGGUAAUGGCUCACCUAGGCGACGAUCCCUAGCUGGUCUGAGAGGAUGACCAGCCACACUGGAACUGAGACACGGUCCAG
RNAcentral lists this ribosomal RNA (193 nucleotides) under uncultured Enterobacterales bacterium. RNAcentral describes it as "partial 16S ribosomal RNA". It matches the Rfam family "Bacterial small subunit ribosomal RNA", at positions 139 to 334 of the family's 1533-position model. Lineage: Bacteria; Pseudomonadati; Pseudomonadota; Gammaproteobacteria; Enterobacterales. The record is from RNAcentral.